Long non-coding RNA from Vespula pensylvanica (western yellowjacket), 766 nucleotides. RefSeq lists it as uncharacterized. The transcript has 3 exons. Lineage: Eukaryota; Metazoa; Arthropoda; Insecta; Hymenoptera; Vespidae. The record is from RefSeq and is a predicted model, not a curated record.
UUUGUCUCUUCUCUUCGUUUUUUUUUUCUUAGUCAGCUACAUAGACCUAAAAUUAUUAUUUUAAUUUUCACGCUCGCGAGAUCAUAUUUAUAUAGGUGAAGUGGUCAUCGCUGUUGGAACCAUCGAAGCAUUUGAAACAGCUCGUUCCCAGUCAAAGCAAGAUACUUCUUCCUGAUUGAGUCCCAAUCAACCACACUCUCGAUUCUAGUAGCACUGUUAAAGGACAAUUGACUGCCCAAUGGGCUCAAAUGCAUUACCGAAAGAGCCACGCUGUCUUUUGGUUGGACCUGUCCCUUCUUGACUUUGGCCAACCACUUUGCACCCAUUUUGGAUCUUGGAGAUAAUCGACCGGUACGUUGAAGACCCAUCAUAUGUACCAGAGACGGUCGUUUGCGUUUUGCCGCACGUUGUUUGCAUACUUUGAUGAAGUAAACGAUCCAGGUUGUUAGCAAGUUCAACGGGGAUGGAGCUGUGGUCGUUCUGCAACAUGGGGACGUAUUUUCAAUGUGUUCCAGUUUAGUCACCUGGAUUGAAUCAUAAUGGAUCAUAACAAAAAACAGAGGAUCUGAAUCUCAUCAUACUAGGCUAUAUUUUAUCAGGUAAUUGAUUCAUCAGCUAAAGAUCUACACGGCAAAGUGUCGCUCAUCAUUGCGAUAAGCAGAUUAAUUAACACCACUACCGAGACCAACAUGUACACGCCGAAGGCCAGCUUAAAGAGGACCGAGGUCCAGUCCGGCUGAUUGACCUCGACCUUGAGCUCGCUGUG